UGAGGAUGUGUUCAACCCUCAGUUCCCGACGCUUUUCUAUUCUGUUGUUUUGUUGCCGUUAAACGUGUGUUUUGUAGUCUAAUAGAGUUUACCCAGGGUCGGAUCCACUCUUUGCGUCCGUGGACUACACCUCUCCGUUCUUCGUGGCCUUUCUCCGCUGGAGAUCUAUUGGCGGAUUGGAUUGUCUGACUGACCGACUGACUACCACCUUUUUGUAUACGAACAGCCUCAAUUCAUCAGGGCAGGGACUCUACAAGGUGUUCCAAGGGGAUGAAGGCCCAUUAUGACUCCAAUGCUUCCCACAGUUGUGUCAAGUUGGCUGGAUGUCUUUUGGGUGGUGGACCAUUCUUGAUACACACAGGAAACUGUGUGAAUAAACCCAGCAGUGUUGCAGUUCUUGUCACAAACCAGUGCGCCUGGCACCUACUACCACACCUCAUUCAAAGACGCGUACAUUUUUUUGUCUUGCCCAAACACCCUCUAAAUGGCACCCAUACACAAUACACUUCUCAAUUGUCUCAGGUUAAAUAAGGUUUUUAAGCCUUGUCUCCUCCCCUUCAUCUACACUGAUUGAAGUGGAUUUAACAAGUGACUUCAAUAAGGGAUCAUAGCUUUCACUUGGAUACACAUGGUCAGUCUAUGUCACGGAAAGAGCAGGAAGAUACAUUUGAACUGAUUCUGAUCUAUCACCUAAUACCUACUCAUAAAUCCAUGGACAGUGAGUGGAAGCCUGAACUGUAUGCAGACACGUUGUUUAUUCGUAAAUUUGUACAUUUUACCCACAUAAAGGCAAAGCAGUUUCCACAUAACUGGCUCUCUCCUGUUGCUGGCUCAUAACUGGCUUUCUCCUAUUGCUGGCUCAUAACUGGCUCUCUCCUCUCUCCUGUUGCACACGGGACACACUCUUUUCACACCACUUCAAUAAGAAAUGAUUUUGGUAGCAGGUUAGGAGCAGGGACAGAUGACUGAAUGGCCCCAGAUAGCAUAUGAUAUCAAAAUGUGUAGAAUUACAGGAAAUUAGCUUUUAAACUGAAACCUUUCCUAUCGACCUCAUUUAAAAAAAAAUAUAUAUAUAUAUAUUUAUUUAUUUAUUUUUACCUUUUUAUUUAACCAGGUGUGCUUGUUGAGAACAAGUUCUCAUUUGCAACUGUGACCUGACCAAGAUAAAGCAAAGCAGACACACACAACAGACACACACAACAACAGUUACACAUAGAAUAAACAAACAUACAAUCAAUAAUACAGUAGAAUAAUCUAUAUACAGCAUGUGCAAAUGAGGUAGGAUAAGGGAGAUAAAGGCAAUAAAUAGGCCAUGGUUGCAAAGUAAUUACAAUAUAGCAAUUAAACACUGGGAUGGUAGAAUGUGCAGAAGAUGAAUGUGCAAGUAGAGAUACAGGGGUGCAAAGAAGCAAGAUAAAUAAAAUAAAUACAGUAUGGGGAUGAGGUAGAUUGGAUGGGCUAUGUACAGGUGCAGAGAUCAGUGAGCUGCUCUGACAGCUGGAGCUUAAAGCUAGUGGGGGAGGUAAGAGUCUCCAGCUUUCGUGAUUUUUGCAGUUUGUUCCAGUCAUUGGCAGCAGAGAACUGGAAGGAUAGGCGGCCAAAUGAAGAAUUGGCUUUGGGGGUGACCAGUGAGAUAUACCUGCACCAUGGCAAAAUGUGUUGAAAUGCAGGAAAGUAAGCUCAGGGUCCCAAAUGCGGUCAUCAAACCCUGGUUUAGGAGAGCAUUUUCCCUAACCCUAACCCUUUUACCUAACCUUAACCCCAGUCUCCUAACCUGCUGCAUAAGUUCUUAUAAACUGCUACAAAACAGUAUAUUCCGUAUCAAAGUGGAGUGAAAGGAUUGUCUCUGUGGCAUCCAGCCCAGCAGGCUCCUCUUGGCAAAUAGACUUCAAAGAGGAAGUUGGUGUCGGAGAAGUUGAGUGGUGUGUGAGAAUCACUCAGAUACAAUUACAGUUACUCUGUUUUUCAUGUAGAAACAUAAUGUGACAACCAUAUGUUUUGUAUCGAUCUCAAAUUAAACUUUUACUUUCUUUAUUUGAAAAAAUUAAUAGUGAAUUUUGGUUCAUAAAUUAACAAUAUUUUUUUAAAUCCCACAGAUAUUCCCAUUCAAGCCUGGGAGAUACGGGAGAUGGUUUUGCUGCCAAAAGUUUAUUUUAGCAAUUUAUUGGGGUCAGACUUAGUGAUUCAGGGGCCCGUUUCAAAAUGCUGUUGACCUGUCCUACCGUGAGAAAGGGACACUAAAUACAGUAGUAUUCCUUUAAAAUGAUAUCUCAUACACUUAUUAGGAAGUAUUUCACUGAUGAGAUGUGAGAUAUGCCACAUGAAUUUCAGCACAUUAGUUAGUCAGACCUCACUAUGUGUGUGACAGUUUCUGCUGUAGACAGUCUACGUUACCGUCUAAGGUGAUCAGUGGUGUGAACAUGUUUUUUCUCAUUGGCCUCUUUAUGUCAGGUGAGUCUUCCACACAACAACAACUAGUUAUGAAUCAGACAUAAAGGAAUAACCACAAGUCAUUAUAUUUUAUGGGAUGUGCUAUAUUCCAGCUUUUUAAUUGUGUAGAAAAGUGUACAGUUAAUUCCUGAUUAGUGUAUUUUAAUAGUCUGGAUUCAAACUGCUGUGAAAAAGUUUUUGCAUAUUUUUGAUACUGAACAUUAUCAGAUCAAUCAAUCUGAUAUUAGAUAAAUGGAAACUGAGUGAACAAAUAACACAUUUACAUACUUAUUUCAUUUAUUUCUUAAACAAAGUUAUGCAACACCCAAUGUCCCUGUGUGAAAAGUAAUUGCUUCCUUAUACUAAAUAACUGGUUGUGCCUCCUUCAGCUGAAAUGAAAACCAACUAUACAUAGUUGUUACUGUAGUUGUUGAUCAGUCUCUCAUGUUGCUGUGGAGGAAUUAUGUCCCACUCUCCCAUGCAGAACUGAUUUAACUCAGUGACAUUUGUGGGUUUUCAAGCAUGAACUGUCACAAUAUCUCAAUUGGGAUUAGGUCUGGACAUUGAGUAGGCCAUUCCAAAACUUUAAAUUUGUUGCUUUUAAUCCCUUUUCAUGUUGACUUGAUUGUGUGUUUUGGAAUGGAGGCACAACCAGUUAUUGAGAGUAAGGGGGCAAUUACUUAUUCACACAGGGGAAUUGGGUGUUGCAUAACUUUGUUAAUGAAAUAAGUUAAAUAACUAUAACAUUUUUUUUUGUUAUUUGUUAACUCAAGUUCCCUUUAUCUAAUAUUAGGUUUUGGUUGAAGAUCUGAUAACUAAAAAGAGAAGCAGAAAGGGGGAAAUACUUCCUCAUGUCUCUGUAUGUUCAUGUGAAACCGACAUCAGUGUGCGGUUAACAGUACAGCUUCCACCACUGUCCCUGUCACCACUCCUUGACAACAUACCGACCAAUUGAAAAAUCACCUGGACAUAGAAAUAAGUUAGUAUUAUGUGAGCGGACCAAGUCAUUUGGUGUCACUCUGAAACAGAAAGGUGGAAUAAACAAGUCAGGAGUAGGUUUUCUUGGUUGAACGCAGUUCUCUAUUGAGAGAUUUCUGACAACACUCCAACACAAUCAAUGAGAAUCUCCCAAGGAACAACAUACAUCUUCUUCUUUAGAUGACACAGGAACACAACGAUUAUCUUUAAACUAUAACAACAAUCACAGAUUUGUCACUGUCUUAAUGGCCCUUCUUUGGCUAGAUCCCUUCUCUUGGUAGCCAUUCUACAGAGAGGGUUUGUCUCUCCUCUCCCUGCUGGUUUCAUCCUCUCUCUUAUAGGGAAAGAGAAUAUGUCAUUAGUACCGUCAGCUGUGCUUAAUUACCUCUGGUUACCUUGUCUCAACAUGCCUUGUUGGGCUACUAUCCGUGAGCCCAGCCUGCCCACUGGUGGUCCUUCCACAACUAUUAUUAUUG
Long non-coding RNA from Oncorhynchus masou masou (cherry salmon), 3884 nucleotides. RefSeq lists it as uncharacterized. The record is from RefSeq and is a predicted model, not a curated record. The transcript is spliced from 3 exons. NCBI's taxonomy places the organism in Eukaryota, Metazoa, Chordata, Actinopteri, Salmoniformes, Salmonidae.